UUCGUAGGCGGUGCGGCAAGUUGGGAGUGAAAUCUCUGGGCUUAACUCAGGGGCUGCUUUCAAAACUGCCGUGCUCGAGUGCGGGAGAGGCCAGUGGAAUUGCAGGUGUAGCGGUGAAAUGCGUAGAUAUCUGCAGGAACACCCGUGGCGAAGGCGGCUGGCUGGACCGCAACUGACGCUGAGGAACGAAAGCUAGGGGAGCAAACAGGAUUAGAUACCCUGGUAGUCCUAGCCCUAAACCAUCAGGACUUGGGGUGGCCCGCGUAGGCGGGUCGUCUCGUAGCUAACGCGUUAAGUCCUGCGCCUGGGGAGUACGGUCGCAAGACUGAA
RNAcentral lists this ribosomal RNA (330 nucleotides) under uncultured bacterium. RNAcentral's name for it is "bacterial SSU rRNA". It matches the Rfam family "Bacterial small subunit ribosomal RNA", at positions 568 to 898 of the family's 1533-position model. The record is from RNAcentral.